This is a small nucleolar RNA of Ailuropoda melanoleuca (giant panda), 71 nucleotides long. The record is from Ensembl. Lineage: Eukaryota; Metazoa; Chordata; Mammalia; Carnivora; Ursidae.
CUAUGAUGAUGGCAGUAUUUUUCAUCAACAUCAGUUCACUUAGUGAGUUUUGAUACUUUGGGUCUGAGUUA